UACGUAGGUCCCGAGCGUUGUCCGGACUUACUGGGCGUAAAGCGAGCGCAGGUGGUUUAUUAAGUCUGGUGUAAAAGGCAGUGGCUCAACCAUUGUAUGCAUUGGAAACUGGUAGACUUGAGUGCAGGAGAGGAGAGUGGAAUUCCAUGUGUAGCGGUGAAAUGCGUAGAUAUAUGGAGGAACACCGGUGGCGAAAGCGGCUCUCUGGCCUGUAACUGACACUGAGGCUCGAAAGCGUGGGGAGCAAACAGG
RNAcentral lists this ribosomal RNA (252 nucleotides) under uncultured bacterium. Its description in RNAcentral is "partial 16S ribosomal RNA". It matches the Rfam family "Bacterial small subunit ribosomal RNA", at positions 524 to 776 of the family's 1533-position model. The record is from RNAcentral.